UACGUAGGUGGCAAGCGUUGUCCGGAUUUACUGGGCGUAAAGAGCGCGCAGGCGGUCGUUCAAGUCGCGUGUGAAAGCCCCCGGCUCAACUGGGGAGGGUCACGCGAUACUGAUCGACUCGAAGGCAGGAGAGGGUAGUGGAAUUCCCGGUGUAGUGGUGAAAUGCGCAGAUAUCAGGAGGAACACCGGUGGCGAAGGCGGGUCUCUGGGCCGUAACUGACGCUGAGGAGCGAAAGCGUGGGGAGCGAACAGG
This 253-nucleotide ribosomal RNA is filed under the name uncultured bacterium. Its description in RNAcentral is "partial 16S ribosomal RNA". It matches the Rfam family "Bacterial small subunit ribosomal RNA", at positions 524 to 776 of the family's 1533-position model. The record is from RNAcentral.